GGGGAGAUAGCGAAGCGGUCAAACGCGGCAGACUGUAAAUCUGUUGGCUCAGCCUUCGAAGGUUCGAAUCCUUCUCUCCCCACCA
This 85-nucleotide transfer RNA is filed under the name Candidatus Omnitrophota bacterium. Its description in RNAcentral is "tRNA-Tyr". It matches the Rfam family "tRNA". From Rfam's summary of the family: Transfer RNA (tRNA) molecules are approximately 80 nucleotides in length. Their secondary structure includes four short double-helical elements and three loops (D, anti-codon, and T loops). Further hydrogen bonds mediate the characteristic L-shaped molecular structure. tRNAs have two regions of fundamental functional importance: the anti-codon, which is responsible for specific mRNA codon recognition, and the 3' end, to which the tRNAs corresponding amino acid is attached (by aminoacyl-tRNA synthetases). tRNAs cope with the degeneracy of the genetic code in two manners: having more than one tRNA (with a specific anti-codon) for a particular amino acid; and 'wobble' base-pairing, i.e. permitting non-standard base-pairing at the 3rd anti-codon position. The record is from RNAcentral. RNAcentral also lists the same sequence under 1 other name. Lineage: Bacteria; Pseudomonadati; Candidatus Omnitrophota.